This 3442-nucleotide long non-coding RNA is filed under the name Citrus x clementina. Its description in RNAcentral is "Citrus clementina (C. clementina) long non-coding RNA (CCLE_LNC001568)". Lineage: Eukaryota; Viridiplantae; Streptophyta; Magnoliopsida; Sapindales; Rutaceae. The record is from RNAcentral.
UUUAGAACAAGAUUCUUAAUGUCACAUUAUGAGAUGUAUGCAUUUUUAACUCUUUUUAUGCAUUGACAUUCACACAAAUGUACACUAAAAUUUUAAUUUAGUCUAGCCUCAUUGAAAAUUUUAGGUCUACCUUUAUUUUUAAAUUAUCUUAUUUAGUUAAGCAUCUGAAUUCGAAUCCUAAAUUAAACAUUUGAUUUAGAGUCUCUUAACUUUUUUUUAAACAAUAAACAAAUAAAUAAUGGACCUAUCAUGCCCAUGUUAUACAUUUGUGGACUUGUGUCAUCGUGAUUUUGCAAAAGACCCAUUUACCCUUUGAAAUGGAAUAUUUAAUUUUAACAGACUAACUAACAAGGACUAUUCGUUUCCAAAAACAAAAAACAAAAGAAAAAGAACUACUUUGAUAAUUUUAUACAAACAAAAGAGAGCGUUUUUAGUUAUUUAUGUAUCCGUUUGCUCUCUACUUAUUCACAGAUAUUUACAAAUCUAACUGAAAAUUAAAGAUAUAUGUUUUUCAAGCUGAAAAUUCAAGAAGUUUAACUGUCAUAUGCUUUUCAUCAAGAGUUUUAUUAUUUGAAUAGCAGUAAAACAGUAAGAAGAUAGAAAUAUAAUUAUUAUUCAUGCGAUACUAUAUAAGAAUUACUCAUGUUAUAAUAACACGAUAACAUGUAAAAUUAUAAUAUUUUUUGUACUAUAAUACCAUUAUAUUUCUAUCUUUUUGUCGUCCCACUGCUGUUUAAAUAACAUUUUCUCCUUUAAAAAAAAAAACAUUUUCCUCUAUUUUUUUUUUUAAAAAAAACAUUUUCCUCUCUAAAGGCCUUGUGACAAAUAACAGUGAGGGGGUAUCACUAUCACAUCAAGGUCAUUUCAAGUGUGAAACAGACUGAUCAAUCUUUAGAUGGAAUGAAGGGAAUGUGAUCUGUGGAGGUGUUAGUGACUCUCCAAUCAUGUCUAUUGAUUCAAUGGUGGAUAGUGUGUCAGUCCGGUUCAGAUCUUUUCAAUUUUUAGAAUUUUUAAAAAAUAAUUAAUUAAGGUAACAAUUAUGAGUAGAACGCGUUGCCACAGAGUCUAGUGCUCUAGCUAUCAUAUGUACACGUANNNNNNNNNNNNNNNNNNNNNNNNNNNNNNNNNNNNNNNNNNNNNNNNNNNNNNNNNNNNNNNNNNNNNNNNNNNNNNNNNNNNNNNNNNNNNNNNNNNNCAAGAGAUGCUUUGUCAUGUUUCAAAUAUACCCUUCCCAUCCACACACACACAAGUCAAAGAAUUUCUCCCUUCAAGAUUGGUGUGAGGGGGAAACCGAUGACUUAAAUUUCGACUAUCCUUCUGAGAUAAAAUUAUUUAUUUGAGUUUGCCAAUUUUUUUUUUCUUAUAUGCUCUUCGUUUUAACACUAUUUUCAUGUCAGCAAAGUUUGAGGGACAAUGCCAAAUAAUAAAUGCACAUAAUGACUUUAAUCUCCCUCGAUUAAAGUAUCCUGAAUCCAAUCGUCUAAAAGCAACAAGAUGCCAUCAUUUUUUUUUUGUUUUUGGUAACGCCUUAUUCCAUUAAUUUUUCCUAGGCAGUUUACUAAAGUAUAUUUGUUGUACCAAUUAUCUUUCAUGUUUGUACUUUGCAGUGAAAAAAAUUGGAUUAAUUUGCAUCAUAAGAGAUCAAAAAUAUGGAACCAAUUAAGACAAACCGACCAAGAUUUACCCAGUAGAUUUGCUUAAAAGUAAACUAAAAGAUCAAAGUAAAAGCCCUAGCUUGUUUGUCAUAUGUGUAACUUUUCUUUUCACUCUAAUUAAAAAUCAAUUAAUUGCUGCCUCCUUAAUUGUGCUAUCGAGGUGAGAAUAUUCUCCUUAAAUAUGAGCUUUCGUUACACUUUGUCUGAUUACAAUUUGAUUUUGAACAGUAGAUUGUCAUAUACGCGCCUGUCCUUUAUCAAUUUUCAAAAAAUUAUUAACCUAUUCUCAAAAAAAAAAAAUUAUUAACCUACUUUCAAAUAUAACCAUAAAAAUUAUAGCAACAGUUAGGAGUGUGCAUUUCAAAAUAUUAAGGCUUAAAUGAAUAUAUGAAUGUUUGUUAGUUUCUUUUAUAUUGCUUCCGGUCUAUUUUGUUCCUAUAAGCUUAGACAAGUGAAUUUCAAAUAUUUUUGAAAUAAUUUUGAGAGAAAAAUAAGUUAAAAUUGAUCGAGCUUUUGCCCACUCCCUCUACCUUUAAGGGAUUAAAAAAAAGGAUAACCAAAAAAAAAUGAAAAAGAAAAUUUGCACCAAACAAAAGUGCAAGGCCUAACCCUAGCUUAUAAGGCUUUGUAAUUAUGAUUGAUGACAUUAUUUAAGGUUGUUUUGAUGCUAAGUUAUCACCUACUCUGCUCAAAUCGGUCAAUAAUCUCACAAAUCUAGAAAGCUUAAUGAACUUGCUCAUAUUUUGAAUUCUCCAUUUAGUUCUAAUUAAUUGAUCUUUAGUUUAUCACCAAAAAAAAAAAAAAAGGUUGAUUGAUCUACAGAUUUGUAUUCGUUGCUAAUACGAUAUUUGCAAUAUUAUAUGUACAUUCCUUUAUUUUUUUUACAAAGGGAGAACAUGUUAUGCAUUCCGUUUAUUGAUUGAUACAUAUCUCAAGGAGUUUUUGAAAUAAAUGAUGCAUAUUAUAAGCCAAUUUGUUUUUUCUAAUAACUUUAUUGUCAUCUAAAAUUUUCUUACUUACAUAUUGUCUGUUUUUGUUCCAAACUUUUUAAUCUUCCACGUAACUUCGUUACGAUGAGGUUUUGAAUUUAAAUUUUAACACGAGUUUACGAAAUAUCAAAUAUUUUAAGAUUAGGGAUAUCUUUAUCACAAAAAUUUAUAAUUUAUUUUUCUUAAUCCAUAUUUAAAAGUUGCUUUCUCUGUAGAUUUCUGCCCGUUGGGAGUUGAGUAAUAUGAUUGUUUUUAUGAUUCCAAUUAACUCUGUUUGUAUUGGUUCCUUUGUUCACCAAUUUGGCGUCUCACUUUGAUUAAAAUAAAAUUUAUUUCAGUGUUUCAUUUUCUAAUCCGUUCAUAUGUCGAAAUAGUCACCUAACGAUUGAAAACAAAUGAUUGGAAAUUAAACAACAAUGAAAUCAAUUAAUCUCUCCUUCCUUUUUUAUGGUUUUUUUUAAAUAUAUAAUAUUAUUCAGGGGUAUUUUAAGGUUUGGGGCCUACCAUAAAGAGCAAAAAAAAAUCAUGCCAUUAAAGUCUUUUAGUUAUUAUUACUUAUGUUUGCCAUUACAAGUUACCAUGUCCAUAUUUUUCUAACAAGGCAAUUAUAUUUGAUAUUAUAAGGUUUGAAAUUGGUGCAUACAUCCAAAAUCAUAUUAUUUUGUGACAAUGAGUAGUUGUUAAAUUUUUUGUAUCUUCUGAAGAAUUUUAAUCUAGUUGUUCUCUUCAUUACAAAAAAAAAAUUAUGUUUGACUUUUUGUUAAAGGGGUUGACUUUGUAGCUUGCUAAGACUUGUUC